GACGAACGCUGGCGGCGUGCUUAACACAUGCAAGUCGAACGAAGUGGCGAACGGGUGAGUAAUACGUGAGUAACUGCCCUCCUUUUUGGGAUAAGCCUUGGAAACGGGGUCUAAUACCGAAUAAAGGGGGAUGGGCUCGCGGCCUAUCGGCUUGUUGGUGGGGUGAUGGCCUACCAAGGCGGUGACGGGUAGCCGGCCUGAGAGGGGACGGGCGACAUUGGGCUAGGAGACGGCCCAAACGCGUACGGGAGGCAGUAGUGGGGAGUAUUACAGAAUGGGGGAAAGCCUGAUGCAGCGGCGCCGCGGGCAGAAUGACGGCCUUCGGGGUGUAAACCGAUUUCAGCCAUGACGCGGUAGUGGCAGAAGAAGCACCGGCUAACUACGUGCCAGCAGCCGCGGUAAUUC
This 405-nucleotide ribosomal RNA is filed under the name uncultured bacterium. Its description in RNAcentral is "partial 16S ribosomal RNA". It matches the Rfam family "Bacterial small subunit ribosomal RNA", at positions 28 to 526 of the family's 1533-position model. The record is from RNAcentral.